AACGAGGCCGACCUGCGGCUGAGUUACCUGCGGAAGGAUCAUUACCGAGUGAGGGCCUCCGGGUCCGACCUCCAACCCCAUGUCAUCUGACCCUGUUGCCUCGGGGGCGACCCGGCCCUCUUGGGCGUCGGGGCCCCCGGUGGACCACAAACACUGCAUCUUUGCGUCGGAGUGAUAAUCAAAUCAAUCAAAACUUUCAACAACGGAUCU
RNAcentral lists this unclassified non-coding RNA (210 nucleotides) under soil metagenome. RNAcentral's name for it is "partial contains 5.8S ribosomal RNA, internal transcribed spacer 2, and large subunit ribosomal RNA". The record is from RNAcentral.